AUGGUGGAGAGGAGAAGAAAGCACCCUCAGCACAGGGGCGCUGUCAGGAAGCAGGAGAGCUGCUGCCCACAGACGCCACGGUGGCCGAGAGGCUCAGAAAGUUUCCUGAUCUUGAUGUUAUUGGACAGCCCGGGACCUGGGGCUCCCACCAGCGUGCUGAGUGUCACAGAGGCCAAGAGAGUAGGGAUCUCCUUAGGGUCUGCCAGGAGGAGGUGUUUCUCGGGUGGUUCCUGGGCCUUGGCCGACCGGUGCAGAGUGUGCAAGAUGGGAGGGAGUGGACACGAGGGGUGGGGGUGGGGGUCACCACUUGGCAGGAGGAAGGUGGGAUCCAGGGCACCCCGGGCCAGGACUCAGGACUCCUCCACGCCUCCCCUUCAACCUCUGGAUGGAGCCACAGGGCGCUGCCGGCUGCUCCAUCCACAGAGAGACAGGGGUCGCCCGGAGCCAAGACAGAGACACUGGGCCAAGGGCCACUGGUCACUCAGAAGGACCCUCCAGAGAUCCUCCAGGUGCCUAGUCCCCUCAGGCCUCCACAGUGUUGAGGGGGCAGGAGUUCUGGUGUUACAAGAGUGGGCUGGUGCAUGCGGGGGGCCUCAGACCCCACAGCAGCCCCUGGGCAGCAGGAAGGCAUGGGCUGGAGGGAGGUGGGGGCUCUGCACACCCUCAGAAAUGGUGACCUUUCCAGCCCCUCCCCAACACCCAGCGGCCCUGGACUACUGCCAGGGCUCCGCUUGGCCAAAGAGAGAAACCUCCUACGUGCUGGCACCAGGUACCCACCUGCAGGGCCGCACUCUCAGCGCCAAACCCCACCCCCUCCCCAACCUGUCCGAUGAGCUCCCUCCAGACAAGCUCCUCCAGACUUUCCCAAAAGGCCUCAGCCCCCAGGCACUUCCUGCAAAGCUUCAGCCUCACGUGGAGGAAAGGCUGCUGUCCACCGGACAUCAGCACACGGGGUCAAGGCCCCGGAACCUCCUGGGGCAGAUCCCGGUGUCCCUGUAUUGA
This 1002-nucleotide long non-coding RNA is filed under the name Cervus hanglu yarkandensis (Yarkand deer). RNAcentral describes it as "lncRNA (ENSCHYG00000017389.1)". The record is from RNAcentral. Lineage: Eukaryota; Metazoa; Chordata; Mammalia; Artiodactyla; Cervidae.